GAAGAAUAGAAGCUGAAUCUGGUUUUUCCAGAACGGGGGAUCUCGUACUGGGGUGUAUCGUGCCGUUAGGUGCGUAGGGCUACACCUGUGCCCAAACCCGUCAACUAACCUCGUAAGCUCAAAAGGUGGCAAAU
RNAcentral lists this small RNA (134 nucleotides) under Desulfitobacterium metallireducens. RNAcentral's name for it is "c-di-AMP sequence". It matches the Rfam family "c-di-AMP riboswitch aptamer (ydaO/yuaA leader)". Rfam says of the family: This family represents a conserved RNA structure found upstream of the ydaO and yuaA genes in Bacillus subtilis and related genes in other bacteria. The ydaO/yuaA element is thought to act as a genetic "off" switch for the ydaO and yuaA genes in its native state. The record is from RNAcentral. Lineage: Bacteria; Bacillati; Bacillota; Clostridia; Eubacteriales; Desulfitobacteriaceae. RNAcentral also lists the same sequence under 1 other name.